Oncorhynchus keta (chum salmon) is the source of this 1692-nucleotide long non-coding RNA. RefSeq lists it as uncharacterized. The record is from RefSeq and is a predicted model, not a curated record. The transcript has 10 exons. Lineage: Eukaryota; Metazoa; Chordata; Actinopteri; Salmoniformes; Salmonidae.
UCUAAGGGCAGAGAUGAGGACCUAGGUCACCUCAGGUAGUAUGUAUGAGAGGGCAGAGAUGAGGACCUAGGUCACCUCAGGUAGUAUGUACGAGAGGGCAGAGAUGAGGACCUAGGUCACCUCAGGUAGUAUGUACGAGAGGGCAGAGAUGAGGACCUAGGUCACCUCAGGUAGUAUGUACGAGAGGGCAGAGAUGAGGACCUAGGUCACCUCAGGUAGUAUGUACGAGAGGGCAGAGAUGAGGACCUAGGUCACCUCAGGUAGUAUGUACGAGAGGGCAGAGAUGAGGACCUAGGUCACCUCAGGUAGUAUGUACGAGAGGGCCGAGAUGAGGACCUAGGUCACCUCAGGUAGUAUGUACGAGAGGGCAGAGAUGAGGACCUAGGUCACCUCAGGUAGUAUGUACGAGAGGGCAGAGAUGAGGACCUAGGUCACCUCAGGUAGUAUGUACGAGAGGGCAGAGAUGAGGACCUAGGUCACCUCAGGUAGUAUGUACGAGAGGGCAGAGAUGAGGACUAGGUUACCUCAGGUAGUAUGUAUGAGAGGGCAGAGAUGAGGACUAGGUUACCUCAGGUAGUAUGUACGAGAGGGCAGAGAUGAGGACGUAGGUCACCUCAGGUAGUAUGUACGAGAGGGCAGAGAUGAGGACGUAGGUCACCUCAGGUAGUAUGUACGAGAGGGCAGAGAUGAGGACCUAGGUCACCUCAGGUAGUAUGUACGAGAGGGCAGAGAUGAGGACUAGGUUACCUCAGGUAGUAUGUAUGAGAGGGCCGAGAUGAGGACUAGGUUACCUCAGGUAGUAUGUAUGAGAGGGCCGAGAUGAGGACUAGGUUACCUCAGGUAGUAUGUACGAGAGGGCAGAGAUGAGGACCUAGGUCACCUCAGGUAGUAUGUACGAGAGGGCAGAGAUGAGGACUAGGUUACCUCAGGUAGUAUGUACGAGAGGGCAGAGAUGAGGACCUAGGUCACCUCAGGUAGUAUGUAUGAGAGGGCAGAGAUGAGGACUAGGUUACCUCAGGUAGUAUGUACGAGAGGGCAGAGAUGAGGACGUAGGUCACCUCAGGUAGUAUGUACGAGAGGGCAGAGAUGAGGACUAGAUCACCUCAGGUAGUAUGUACGAGAGGGCAGAGAUGAGGACCUAGGUCACCUCAGGUAGUAUGUAUGAGAGGGCCGAGAUGAGGACUAGGUUACCUCAGGUAGUAUGUACGAGAGGGCAGAGAUGAGGACCUAGGUCACCUCAGGUAGUAUGUACGAGAGGGCAGAGAUGAGGACUAGGUUACCUCAGGUAGUAUGUACGAGAGGGCAGAGAUGAGGACCUAGGUCACCUCAGGUAGUAUGUACGAGAGGGCAGAGAUGAGGACUAGGUUACCUCAGGUAGUAUGUACGAGAGGGCAGAGAUGAGGACUAGGUUACCUCAGGUAGUAUGUAUGAGAGGGCAGAGAUGAGGACUAGGUCACCUCAGGUAGUAUGUACGAGAGGGCAGAGAUGAGGACUAGAUCACCUCAGGUAGUAUGUACGAGAGGGCAGAGAUGAGGACUAGGUCACCUCAGGUAGUAUGUACGAGAGGGCAGAGAUGAGGACUAGGUUACCUCAGGUAGUAUGUAUGAGAGGGCCGAGAUGAGGACUAGGUUACCUCAGGUAGUAUGUACGAGAGGGCAGAGAUUAAGACUAGGUUACCUCAGGUAGUAUGUA